AAUAUCAAAGGUGAGCCAGUACAGGAUGGACCCGCGUCUGAUUAGCUAGUUGGUAAGGUAACGGCUUACCAAGGCGACGAUCAGUAGCCGACCUGGGAGGGUGAUCGGCCACAUUGGAACUGAGACACGGUCCAAACUCCUACGGGAGGCAGCAGUGGGGAAUAUUGCACAAUGGGCGAAAGCCUGAUGCAGCAACGCCGCGGGAGUGAUGAAGGCCUUCGGGUCGUAAAACUCUGUCCUCAAGGAAGAUAAUGACGGUACUUGAGGAGGAAGCCCCGGCUAACUACGUGCCAGCAGCCGCGGUAAUACGUAGGGGGCUAGCGUUAUCCG
RNAcentral lists this ribosomal RNA (330 nucleotides) under Clostridioides difficile. RNAcentral's name for it is "bacterial SSU rRNA". It matches the Rfam family "Bacterial small subunit ribosomal RNA", at positions 197 to 547 of the family's 1533-position model. Lineage: Bacteria; Bacillati; Bacillota; Clostridia; Peptostreptococcales; Peptostreptococcaceae. The record is from RNAcentral.